GGUUGACUAGUUUAAGUAAAAUAAAAACUUUGUAAGUUUUAGUUUCUAAAGACAUCAU
Molecule: transfer RNA, 58 nt
Filed under: Argiope ocula
Lineage: Eukaryota; Metazoa; Arthropoda; Arachnida; Araneae; Araneidae
Description: tRNA-Thr
Source: RNAcentral